This is a long non-coding RNA of Papaver somniferum (opium poppy), 2353 nucleotides long. RefSeq lists it as uncharacterized. The transcript has 14 exons. Lineage: Eukaryota; Viridiplantae; Streptophyta; Magnoliopsida; Ranunculales; Papaveraceae. The record is from RefSeq and is a predicted model, not a curated record.
CUGUUCUCUUAUUAUUAGGGUUCAACUUCUUCCCAUCGAUCUUUAUACACAAGCAGUGAUGAUGAUGAGAAUGAUUAUCAGAACUCUUUGUUUUUUUACGUUUCUUCUCUGAUCCUCCCUCUCUCUCUCUCUCUCUCUCUCGUUCUCUUCUCCAUCCGAAAAACCCUGAGAUAUAUUAUCCAAAUCAUUAUAUCCUUUCAAAACCCGUACCAAAAAUCCCGAUAGCCAACAGUUGAGAUGAAGAAUUAAUGAACUAGAAGAAGACUUCUGGCACCUCUAAGAGGGCUCUUCUACUGGUUGGAGUUAAGUUUUUCGAUUCUACAAUAAGGUCAUUCUGUUAGUAAAGAUGUUAGUGAAGUGGCUCUUUUGGACAAAUCUAUUUAGGUACCGAUAUUCAGACUAAUGAAGAGGUUGCUAUUAAGCUAAUUAUGCAUACAACAAGUAGAUGCAUCUCUAUUAGAAGUAGGAUCGAAAGGCGAAGCUGUGAAUUCCUAGGGGGCAAAUCCAAAUAUUUCACUUGAAAAUAGGUUUUUGGGAAAAUGCGAAGGCGAAGUAUCCUCAAUUGUUAUACGAGUCAAUUCUGUACAGGUUUUUUUAAGGAGGAAAUGGAAUUCCAAAUACGAGAUGGUUCGGGGUCGAGGGAGAUUACAAAGUUCUUGUUAUGGACUUUCUUGGACCUAGUUUGGAAGAUCUUCUUAACUCCUAUGGCAGGAAAUUUUCUCUGAAGACCGUUCUAAUGCCUGCAUAGCAAAUGAUAAAUCGAGUGGAAUUUAUUCAUAGCAAAUCUUACUUGCACCGAGAUAUUAAGCCACACAAUUUCCUUAUGGGCACGGGAGGGCGUGCAAACCAGGUGUACAUAAUUAAUUUUGGUUUGGCUAAGAAGUACAGAAAUUCUAAGACCCAACAACAUGCUCCAUACAGAGAAAAGAAAGAUUUGAUCGGAUCUCCACGUUAUGCAAGCAGAAAUUCCCAUCUUGGUAUUGGUACUCCACCCCUGGAGGAUAUUCGUGCAAGGAAAUUCUCCUAUCGCACCUGGAAAGCUCAUGAGCAUUACUCAAAUGAUGAAAUCAGAAUUUGCUGACAAGUCACUUUCUGUCAUUGGAGGAGUUGAGACCGUCUGGGAUGCAGCUGAAUUUAUUCUUCUUGGAGCAAAUAUAGUUCAGGAUGGUGUUUCAUUGAAUGGGGAACGGAACUAUGGUGCCAAAGAUGAAUGUAAUACAUGACUGGAAAGGAAAAGUUCAUAGAUCUUUAGCUCGUGCUGGAAAAACUCCUCUUUAAGGAAAGCCAAGAGGCCAGGAAAUCAGAAGAAUGAAGAUUUGGAGGAUUUCUUGAAUACGGUUAGUGAUGAGAAAGAUAUGGCAGUCAGGUUACCAAAAACUCCCCGAAGAACAACUUGACCUUGAUAAUUAUGAAGCAAGAUGCAGGAGAUAUGUGGCAAGGAAUGGUAAAAGAGCUGCUCUGAACUGUUUAUCUUGCUCCUGCGUUUGGACAGAGAGUUUAAUUUAAACAAAUAUGAAGAACUUAUCGCUAUUCUUGACCUGCCGUCAAGACUGCUGUCCUUUAACACGGUAAUAUCAUUUACAUUAAGCUGAUUUGUACCUUACUAGAUGUCAUCAAAUUUCUAUGCUGAAAUCUCAGCUUCUUACUGGUUUGCACUUGCUCAAAGUUGUAUUGGUCCUAGUCGAUCAUAUAUUCAUUAUUUCUGUUGAAAUGGGGAAUUCUAGUAGGUGAUCCUUGUGUUCAUUCUGUCUUUCGAUCCAAAAAAAAAGAUUUAUGUCAUAGGCCACUUCUUCUUCUUAGGUCAUUUCGAUUCAAAAGAUAAAGCCUUUUGCCUUGGUUCUAAUGGUACAUGUUAGAUGUUACAUUUUUUUUUUUUUUUUUGAUAUAUAAUUAGGUGCUAUGUUUCACACUUUUAUCGUUAACAUGAGAUAGGUGAUAGUUAUAGGUUCAUCUUCAUAUGAAGCUAAAGCACAAUAACUUGAGAUGAAACAGUCAUGUUUGCUUACAACAAAGCACUUGUAUACUUUGAACUUAUCUUGUUUUUCGUGUCUUCAUUAGACAAGUUAAUUAAGAUCAAUUACUAAUGUAUUGUUUUUCUUGUGUUUACAUGAAAGUAUGCUUGACAAGUAGCUGGCCAGCUCUCAUGGUCAAUACUUCUACAAGUUCUUCUGCCAGUCCAGGUUCACCAAUGGUUCCAUGUUUUAUUUUGGUUUGAACUGAAUUAUUUCAUUUUUUGUUUGUAUUUUUUGGUAGUUUCUGUAUCAGAAUGUAUACUUCUCAGAUUUCUAUAAUGUUAUGUAAUUGUUCACAUUUGGAACUUGAGAAAUUGUAGUUUGUUGAACUUGUAAAAUGA